GACGUAGGUGGCGAACGUUAUCCGGAAUUAUUGGGCGUAAAGGGUGCGUAGGCGGCAUGAUAAGUUAUUGGCGGCAAAUCGAGGCUCAACCUCGUGGAAACUGAUAAUACUGUCUUGCUUGAGUGCAGAAGAGGUUAACGGAACUCCAUGUGGAGCGGUAAAAUAUGUAGAUAUAUGGAAGAACAUCAAUAACGGCGAAGGCAGUUAACUAUUCUGUUACUGACGUUGAGGCACGAAAGCGUGGGGAGCAAAAAGG
RNAcentral lists this ribosomal RNA (256 nucleotides) under uncultured bacterium. RNAcentral describes it as "partial 16S ribosomal RNA". It matches the Rfam family "Bacterial small subunit ribosomal RNA", at positions 524 to 776 of the family's 1533-position model. The record is from RNAcentral.